Molecule: long non-coding RNA, 206 nt
Filed under: Elaeis guineensis (African oil palm)
Lineage: Eukaryota; Viridiplantae; Streptophyta; Magnoliopsida; Arecales; Arecaceae
Description: long non-coding RNA (EGUI_LNC021019)
Source: RNAcentral
AUCAAAUUUAAAACGUGCAACAUUUAUACAUUAGUCCUCGAAUUUUGCUAACCUUUAGCAAUUAAGCCCUAGUAAUUUGUAACAAUUACAAAUUAAUCUAAUCAUCAAUCACAUUAAUAAUUCAGAUGACAACCAUCUAAUCAGUCUCAAACUCCUUAUAUGUGUGACCCCAUAAGUUCUGUUGGUGCAAAAAUCCGUCUGCGCCG